This 1098-nucleotide long non-coding RNA is filed under the name Monodelphis domestica (gray short-tailed opossum). RNAcentral describes it as "lncRNA (ENSMODG00000050251.1)". Lineage: Eukaryota; Metazoa; Chordata; Mammalia; Didelphimorphia; Didelphidae. The record is from RNAcentral.
UCUACACCAGAUUCCAACAGUUCUUUCUCUGGAGGUGGAUCGCAUCCCUUGUCACAAAUCCUUCAGAAUUGUUUCAGAUCAUUUUAUUGUUGAGAGCAGCUAAAUCUUUCACAGUUGAUAACUGUACAAUAUUGCUGUUACUUUGUAUUAUAUUCUCCUGGUUCUGCAUGUUUUGCUCUGCAUCACUUCAUAUUGAUCUUUCUAGCUUUUUUUGAUAUCAUCUCACUCAUCAUUUCUUUUAGCUAAAUUGUAUUCUAUCUCCAUCAUAUACCACAAUUUGUUUAGCUAUUCCCCCAUUGAUGGAUAUCUCCUCAAUUUCCAAUUCUUGGCCACCACAACAAAGAGUAGCUAUAAAAAACAUUUUUGUACAAGUUAAUCCUUUCCCGUUUUUAAAUGAUCUUUUUCAUAUAUAGGUCCAGUAUUAAAGGAUCAAAAGGUAUGCAUUUCAAGACCAGGGCAGCAGUCUCUUGAAGCCAAAGUAUUUUCCUGGAUAGGUGUGGUGACUUAGGCGAAAGAUGAGAAGUGGAAGACAACUUGGAUGUUUCAGACCUGUUGUCCAGGCAUGGCAAGAAGCUGUUCCUCAAGUCAGAGGGUUUGUUUUUAUUUAUACCGCAGUGGUUACAUAUUUCUCUGGCACAGUCAUUUUUCAACAUACAUGAUUUCUUACAGGAAUAAUAAACUGGAAGAAUUCCAUGGGAACUGGAAUGACCUCCAGGAAUUGAUGCAGAAUGGAAGGAGCAGAACCAAGAGAACAAUGUACACAGAGACUGAUACAGUGUGGUAUAAUUGAAUGUAAUAGCCUUCUCUACUAGUAGCAAUGCAAUGAUCCAGGACAAUCCAGAGGGAUUUACGAGAAAGAAUGUCAUCCACAUCCAGAGGAAGAACUGUGGGAGUAGACACAUAGAAUAGAGACAACUGCUUGAUCACAUGGUUCGAUGGGGAUGAUCGGGAAUGUAGACUCUAAAUGAUCGUGCAAAUAUUAAUAAUAUGGAAAUAGGUCUUGAUCAACGACACAUGUUAAACCCAGUGGAAUUAUGUGUCAUAUAUGGGAGUGGGGUAGGGGAAGGGGAGGGAAAGAACAUGAGUCUUGUAACCAUG